GCAUCUGUAGCUCAGUAGGAUAGAGCGGCGGUUUCCUAAACCGUGUGUCGGAGGUUCGACUCCUCUCAGGUGCACCA
Molecule: transfer RNA, 77 nt
Filed under: Anaerosolibacter carboniphilus
Lineage: Bacteria; Bacillati; Bacillota; Clostridia; Peptostreptococcales; Thermotaleaceae
Description: tRNA-Arg
Rfam family: tRNA
About the family: Transfer RNA (tRNA) molecules are approximately 80 nucleotides in length. Their secondary structure includes four short double-helical elements and three loops (D, anti-codon, and T loops).
Source: RNAcentral